UCCCAUAUAGUCUAAUAGGUUAGGAUAGCAGGCUCUCACCCUGCCGAUCCGGGUUCGAUUCCCGGUGUGGGAA
This is a transfer RNA of Blastocystis hominis, 73 nucleotides long. It matches the Rfam family "tRNA". From Rfam's summary of the family: Transfer RNA (tRNA) molecules are approximately 80 nucleotides in length. Their secondary structure includes four short double-helical elements and three loops (D, anti-codon, and T loops). Further hydrogen bonds mediate the characteristic L-shaped molecular structure. tRNAs have two regions of fundamental functional importance: the anti-codon, which is responsible for specific mRNA codon recognition, and the 3' end, to which the tRNAs corresponding amino acid is attached (by aminoacyl-tRNA synthetases). tRNAs cope with the degeneracy of the genetic code in two manners: having more than one tRNA (with a specific anti-codon) for a particular amino acid; and 'wobble' base-pairing, i.e. permitting non-standard base-pairing at the 3rd anti-codon position. Lineage: Eukaryota; Bigyra; Opalinata; Blastocystidae. The record is from Rfam.